AGAGUGAACGCUGGCGGUAGGCCUAACACAUGCAAGUCGAACGGCAGCACGGUAAGAGCUUGCUCUUAUGGGUGGCGAGUGGCGGACGGGUGAGGAAUCCAUCGGAAUCUACCUUUUGGUGGGGGAUAACGUAGGGAAACUUACGCUAAUACCGCAUACGCCCUUCGGGGGAAAGCCGGGGACCAGCAAUGGCCUGGUGCUGAUAGAUGAGCCGAUGUCGGAUUAGCUAGUUGGUGAGGUAAUGGCUCACCAAGGCGACGAUCCGUAGCUGGUCUGAGAGGAUGAUCAGCCACACUGGAACUGAGACACGGUCCAGACUCCUACGGGAGGCAGCAGUGGGGAAUAUUGGACAAUGGGCGCAAGCCUGAUCCAGCCAUACCGCGUGGGUGAAGAAGGCCUUCGGUUGUAAAGCCCUUUUGUUGGAAAGAAAGCAAUUCGGUUAAAUACCCGGUGUUCUGACGGUACCCAAAGAAUAAGCACCGGCUAACUUCGUAGCCAGCGAGCCGCGGUAA
RNAcentral lists this ribosomal RNA (512 nucleotides) under uncultured soil bacterium. RNAcentral describes it as "bacterial SSU rRNA". It matches the Rfam family "Bacterial small subunit ribosomal RNA", at positions 26 to 523 of the family's 1533-position model. The record is from RNAcentral.